Molecule: ribosomal RNA, 253 nt
Filed under: uncultured microorganism
Description: partial 16S ribosomal RNA
Rfam family: Bacterial small subunit ribosomal RNA
Source: RNAcentral
UACGGAGGGUGCGAGCGUUAUUCGGAAUCACUGGGCGUAAAGCGCGCGUAGGCGGGCCGUUAAGACAGGUGUGAAAUCCCUGGGCUCAACCUAGGAAUUGCGCUUGUGACUGGCGGGCUCGAGUACGGUAGAGGGGGGUGGAAUUCCUGGUGUAGCAGUGAAAUGCGUAGAGAUCAGGAGGAACACCGAUGGCGAAGGCAGCCCCCUGGGCCUGUACUGACGCUCAUGCACGAAAGCGUGGGGAGCAAACAGG